AUGAAUGGAUGAACAAUACAACUUUAGUCUUAAUAGCCAUAUGUGGUCACAGAUACUUGCAGAGUAUUAUUACUCAUUUAAGAAAAAAGGACUUCUCUAUUCAUGAAAGAUCUCAGAAAAACACUUGGGGUUCAACUCCGAAGUUGCAACUCAGUGAAAUUAAGACAAUUUUGAAGGAGACAGAAAAGGAAGGAGGAUUUGGGAGGAAGGGUCUCAGACUGUAGUACAGUUCUAAGAAUGUGUCAGAUCAAUGAAGAGUUCUCCAGCCUAAGUCACUUAUUAGAGGAGUCUCACAUCCUACAAGAUGGACCUACAGUAGCACCCUUGCCACACAGAGCCAAGACUUGGGGAAGUCUAGAGGGAGAAAGUGUGGCCUUGGUGCAGACAUGGUUGUGGAUCCCAAGGGAUGCAGCUGGAGCUGUUGAUCCAUUCUGCUCCUGCCAACAGGAAAGUUGAGUGGUGCAUUCUCAUGGCAUCCACACCCCGAACCUAAGAAAUGUAUCAUCUGUGCUACCACAUUCUAACUUAUCUAUCAGGUCACUGGGAGCAGGGCUUAUAGUCUCUGAUUUUCAGCUUGUAAUUAAUGAGCUAUAUUUGCCCCCAUGAAUUUGAAUGGACUCAUUCAGUCCGUGCCACCAAGCUUCCUGGCCUAACUUCUGUUUGCUGUCAGCUUAAUGCAUAUUCCAGAUGAUAUAGAUCUCACUUCUUUAUGACCUCUGGUCCAUUUACCACUUGGAACUGACAGGUUGGUCAUUGGUUUUCCCAGCGUUGGGUUAAAGAACAAUAAAAAACAAGGAAUAAAGGUAGGACUUUUAGGAAUAAAGGUAGGUCUUCACUGUUGUUAAAGUUCUCUGGCAUAACCGCUUCCAAAAUAUUGUAACAAAUAGGAAUUCAGAGGAACAGAAAUUCAGAAAUAUUUAAUUAUAAAAGCACUUCCAAUUCCGAAAGCUUAUAACCAUUACCUGGCAGUGAGUUCCACUUUGGAGAAGUACAAAGACCUUGGUGAUAAUAUCUUAGCACUUGUAAAGGCCAGAGAAAACCAGCUCCUGUCUUUUUGGGACUUCAUCUGUACUCGGUAGUUAUAACUAUACCAUCAGUUCCAUUUGCCUGUAAAGGAGUUUUGUUAAUGGCCCUGCAACUACCCUUUGUUAAGUCACCCUUGGAGGGAUGAUUUUAAGUGUGGUCACCAUGGUAAUGCCCCAUGGAUCAAUUUACCCUCUCACUCUUCCAUGACCCAGACUUCACAGACCUUAAUUUUAGGCCAGCUCUGUCCUCUUGAGGAGAUAUGUAAUUAUGAAUCAAUCACAUGGAGUGCUAAUACUCCUCAUACAGAGGUCUAAUAUUAAAAUAGUAUUGGGGUAAAAAACUUUCAAAUUUGCUCUCUCUCUUAUUAUCUGACACUCCUUCCCCAGGGCAGCCUGGUUUUGAGUGGCUGUAUAAUUGCAUGAUGGUUUUGCUGGGUGUUCCUUUGUAUUUUAUUCUUUCCUGAUUCUUCCCAUUAGAUUACUUGGAGGUCUUUUUGAAGUGGUGUAUGGGUUAGGAAACACAAAAGUAUACAUUUUUUCAUGUACAGUGAACACCUAUAUCAUUAUCAAAGGAAUGUAAGGGCCUCUGAUUAAGAGAUAAUCAGAAGCUCCUCCUGAUUCUUCUUCUGUCUUAUGGAUUGCCAUGGUGAUAGGAGGGGGAUAGAAUUGGGAGAGAACUAGAACUUGUAAUAUUCAAAGCUCAUAAAAUCCAUGUGAACAUUCAUUUCUUAUUUGAACAUGGAUUGUUACCUAUUAUGUGAAGAGGAUACCACCUGUCUAAAAAGUCUCCUAGCAUGCUCCUAGUAGUCCUCCUAGGAUUUUAGUGGCUGUGGUUGAUAGGGAAUAGGUUCUUGCAUUUUAAUACUGUUUGGUUUCACCCAUACAACAUUUGGCAGGAAGAAUGAAAACUAUCUUGGAAUGGUUCGAGAGUGUCUAAUAGGUGUCAGGCAAGAGUUGUGAUGGAACGCCCAAGUGAAGGGUUACUUUUCAACUGCCUUUUCAGCAAGAAUGGGGAUACCUGCAGAAAGAAACUAUGCCCCAGUGAGACAGAGAGAGGGCGAGAUGCAGACAGAGAGAGACAGAGCGCUCCAACCAUCAUAGCCAUGACAAUACUGCAGAGCUGACUAGAGGGAAGCAAAACCUUUCGUGCCGAUCAGUGGCUCUGAUUUAAUCCUCAGUGACCGUGCAUGAACAAGUGCAUGGACCAAGAGUGAGAGAUAUCUGUAACCAGACACAAGGGGCUCUGAGGAAAGGAGACAGCACAGCAUUGUAGGCAAAGAUGGACGAGGAGUAGGAACUACUGGGCUCACAGCAAAGGAUCCAGACAGCAGCAGCCCAGAUACUGUUUCCCUGGCACUCUAGUUGAGACAGUUUCUGAGCUGUGUCCUAUAGAACACCAGUUCUGAAAGAUGUUUAGUUAGAACACACUGAAAAGAGGUUUCCAUAGUCAAAUAAAUUAGGAAAUGCUACCUAGCAUGCUAGGUGGAGAUGUGUAAUCAUAGUCAUAUGAAGUAAAGAAAGCAGUCUAACUUUAUUUAAGCUCAGUGCUGCUCCAAACUUUUUGAAUAUAAAACCUUAUUUCUAUUUACUUAUUUGAGUAUUGAUUUUUUUUUUUUGUCUUUUUGCCUUUUCUAGGACCACUUCCCACAGCAUAUGGAGGUUCCCAGGCUAGGGGUCAAAUCGGAGCUGUAGUCUCCAGCCUACACCAGAGCCACAGCAACAUGGGAUCCGAGCCAUGUCAACCUACACCACAGCUCACGGCAAUGCUGGAUCUUUAACCCGUUGAGCAAGGCCAGGAAUCGAACCUGCAACCUCAUUGUUCCUAGUUGGAUUCGUUAACCACUGCGCUACAACGGGAACUCCCUAAGUAUUGAUUAUUGAUAUCUAAAGGAAAGUGUGUCCUGUUGAAUAUAGUAUGGAAAUGCUAUGGUAAUGGUUAUUAGUAAAGAAAUAUGGAGAAUUGGAUAUCAUACCCCAAUAAAUGGCCUUUUGAGUUCUUGUGUAUAUAUCCAACCCUAGUUGUACAUCAGGAUCAAUUGGUGAAGUCU
This 3073-nucleotide long non-coding RNA is filed under the name Sus scrofa (pig). RNAcentral describes it as "lncRNA (ENSSSCG00000062658.1, ENSSSCG00130034224.1)". The record is from RNAcentral. Lineage: Eukaryota; Metazoa; Chordata; Mammalia; Artiodactyla; Suidae.